AGGGCACGGGCCGGGGGUGACACCGGGCCCGGGCCCGGCCCGCCGGGUGGGUGCCGGGGGUGAGCCCGGGGAGGGUAAGGCCCGGCCCGCCGGGUAAGCGAGUGCCGGGCAGGCGUCUCUGCGGCCGGCACAGGGCGAUUCUCCGGUCGUGGGGCCGAGCCUGGCGGCGUGCCCCGAGGAAGAGCCUGCGAAAGGAUUCAGCUGCUGGAUCUCAAAGAGUGCUGGGAGUGGAGCUGGGGAGCAGAAGGGAUGACUCCUGCCAAGGAAGAUGAUGUCUGCAGCCAUGUCAAAGUGGUGGUCCGUGUCCGCCCAGAGAGCCAGAAGGAAAAGCAGGGCAGCUUCAGCAGGGUGGUGCGUGUCAUCGACCAGCACGUGCUGGUCUUUGAUCCAAAGGAGGAGGAGAGUGACCCACAGGCAUACCUUUAACAUGAUUAUACCCUUACACAUUAAGACCUGAAAGGACCAUCCAUUUCCUUUCUCGUAAAAAGCUCCAAAAAGGCAGGUUGUGUAGGAGACAAUCUACAUAACAUGUAGUUCAUUUUAAGGCUAUGCUGCAAAAAUAAAACCUUUUUUUUAUAGCCAAAAUGAUAGGGGAAACAGCACUGUCAAAGCAGGAAUAACAAAUGGAACAUUUUAUAUUUCUUUGCUUUACUAUGAGUUCUUUACAUUCCUACAGCCUGGCUUCAAAUGUCUUCAAAACUACAGGAAUAACUUUGUGAAACCCCAAGAUAUGAACUUGGUGUCUUCUGCAUACUUUCAAGGCCUUUCAUACAUAUCUCCUUUAUAUAUAUCCAUUCAUCCAUCCAUCUAUCCAUCUUCCUCUUUUCCAGAGGAAAAAGUUCAUUCUUCUAUUCAGAUUAUAGAAGCCAACACUCUAAAUACAGGAAUAUAAGAGAAGCCAUAACACAGAACUAAAUAAAUGCAGACAGAUUUUAAAAUAUUUCAAAGUUAUAAGGUGAUGAAAUACUCUGACUUUUUAUGAUAAUGAUAUAAAUCUUGAGAAAAUGUAAAACUUAAAGUUGCAAUUCUCUUUGACUGCAUAAAAAUCAGAAUCACAUAAUUUGUUGAGGUUUCCAAACUUUAAGCUGCCUUAUUUUACAAGAAAAAGUUAUGAAUUUACCACAUGGAAAUUGCAUUUAAUAGAAAUGGAGACUGACUCCUAAUUGCUCAUUGCAAGUGAGCACUAGAAAUUGGAUUUAUUUUUGCAUAUUGCAAUCUAAAUAUUGUA
RNA transcript from Motacilla alba alba, 1228 nucleotides. It is a transcript of the gene named kinesin-like protein KIF18A, with no coding region annotated. Lineage: Eukaryota; Metazoa; Chordata; Aves; Passeriformes; Motacillidae. The record is from RefSeq and is a predicted model, not a curated record. The transcript is spliced from 2 exons.